This 335-nucleotide unclassified non-coding RNA is filed under the name soil metagenome. RNAcentral describes it as "partial contains 5.8S ribosomal RNA, internal transcribed spacer 2, and large subunit ribosomal RNA". The stretch from base 1 to 120 matches the Rfam family "5.8S ribosomal RNA", at positions 35 to 154 of the family's 154-position model. The record is from RNAcentral.
GAUGAAGAACGCAGCGAAAUGCGAUAAGUAAUGUGAAUUGCAGAAUUCAGUGAAUCAUCGAAUCUUUGAACGCACAUUGCGCCCGCCAGUAUUCUGGCGGGCAUGCCUGUUCGAGCGUCAUUUCAACCAUCAAGCCCCAGGCUUGUGUUGGGGACCUGCGGCUGCCGCAGGCCCUGAAAACCAGUGGCGGGCUCGCUGUCACACCGGGCGUAGUAGAUUUUAUCUCGCUCAGGGCGUGCUGCGGGUCCCGGCCGUUAAAAGCCUUUUUUUACCCAAGGUUGACCUCGGAUCAGGUAGGAAGACCCGCUGAACUUAAGCAUAUCAAUAGCGGAGGA